AAACGUUCCAAACGCAACAACCAGUCUAGAAAUUUAUCAAAAAAAUAAUGCUUAAAAUAAUAAUAUAACGCGCUAACGCCAGUGUAUAUCGCCGCUUUGGUCAUCGCUUAGUGAUCUCAAUUAUAAACUCAGUGUACUUAGUUUUAAGGAUAGAAGGAAAAUGGCGAUGCGAGGCUCGCACUUUUCCGGGUGACUCUCCGAUCGAUCCGGUUUUGGAUUUUGAAACUUUUUCCACAUUUUUUGAGAAUGUUCGCGUGGACUUUAGUCGUGAUGGUCGGUUGAGUUCGCGAGUGCAAGGACGCCGUAAAAUCGAUAUCGCCGCGAUGUCGGCGGGUCUGUAGGCCGGUGGGUGGUAGCUUUUAAGCUGUCCAGGUUAAAAGACUGUUGUUCAUGUCAAAAAAAGAAGAAGAGGAGUAGACUAGCUUCGUUUGAAAUGACGACGGAAACGGCGACGCCUAACCAGGCGGACGCCAGUACGGCGUUCCUGCGCGCCGCGCGGGCGGGGCACAUCGACAAGAUCAUCAGCUUGCUCGAGCAGGGCGUCGACAUCAACGUCAGCAAUGCUAACGGCCUCAACGCAAUCCACCUGGCGUCCAAGGAUGGUCAUGUAGCGGUGGUGGGGGAGCUGCUCGAUCGUGGUGCUGCUAUAGAUGCUGCUACCAAGAAAGGCAACACAGCACUGCACAUCGCCUCACUAGCUGGGCAAGAGGCGGUUGUUAAACUUUUGGUGCAGAGUGGUGCUCAGGUGAACAUUCAAUCCCAGAAUGGCUUUACGCCGCUAUAUAUGGCUGCUCAGGAGAACCAUGAUGGUGUUGUCAAGUUCCUCCUCGCCAAUGGAGCUAACCAGAGCCUUGCGACUGAGGACGGGUUCACCCCCCUGGCAGUGGCGAUGCAGCAGGGUCAUGAGAGGGUGGUUUCGGUGCUACUGGAGUCAGAUAUUCGUGGCAAAGUCCGUCUGCCCGCUCUCCAUAUCGCAGCCAAGAAGGACGAUGUCAAAGCUGCAAAUCUGUUACUUGAGAACGAACACAACCCAGAUGUGACCUCCAAGUCUGGCUUCACGCCACUACAUAUAGCGGCCCACUAUGGUAAUGAGAACGUCGCUCGACUCCUGCUGGCUAAAGGAGCUGAUGUCAACUGCGCUGCUAAGCAUAACAUUUGCCCUCUGCAUGUUGCUGCUAAAUGGGGCAAAGAAAACAUGGUGUCUCUUCUAUGCGACAACGGGGCUAAUGUGGAGUCCCGGACCAGGGAUGGACUCACCCCUCUUCAUUGCGCCGCCAGGUCCGGGCAUGAGAGGGUGGUGGAAGCUUUGUUGGAGCGAGGAGCGCCGAUUACUAGCAAGAGCAAGAACGGCCUCGCCCCCCUCCACAUGGCGGCUCAAGGCGACCACGCAGACUCGGCGCGCGUGCUGCUCUCACGCAGAGCACCCGUCGAUGACGUCACUGUCGACUACCUCACCGCACUCCACGUCGCCGCGCAUUGCGGACACGCUAAAGUUGCUAAAUUGCUUUUAGAUAGGAGUGCUGAUGCUAACGCUCGCGCUCUGAACGGCUUCACUCCGCUUCAUAUUGCGUGCAAGAAGAACAGAAUCAAGGUGGUGGAACUACUGAUCAAGUAUGGAGCCAGUAUCCAAGCGACAACGGAGUCAGGCCUAACGCCUCUCCACGUGGCAGCAUUCAUGGGCUGCAUGAACAUCGUCAUCUUCUUACUCCAGCAUGAGGCCAACCCUGACGUGCCCACUGUCCGCGGGGAGACGCCUCUCCAUUUGGCUGCUAGGGCUAACCAGACGGACAUAAUCCGCAUUCUACUCCGCAACGGCGCGGCGGUGGAAGCCAAGGCUCGGGAGCGGCAGACUCCCCUGCAUAUCGCCUCACGACUUGGCAACGUCGACAUUGCAGUGCUUCUGCUCCAACACGGGGCUGACGUCAGAGCGAUGACGGCUGAUCAUUACAACGCGCUGCAUAUCGCUGCUAAACAGCACAACCAUGAUGUUGCAGCGGCUUUGAUAGAGCAUAAUGCUCCCCUGACAGCGACUACUAAGAAAGGAUUCACAGCAUUACAUCUGGCUGCUAAAUAUGGAAAUCUAAAGGUGGCAAACUUACUGCUAGCUCACGGUGCGUCACCAGACCAAGCUGGCAAGAACGGCAUGACUCCUCUGCACAUUGCAGCUCAGUAUGACCAACAGGCUGUGGCUAGUACUCUCCUUGAGAAAGGAGCUGAUGCUAAGGCUGUGGCUAAGAAUGGCCACACUCCACUCCACAUAGCGGCUCGCAAGAAUCAGAUGGAGACAGCUGCUACUCUACUGGAGUAUGGGGCUCUUACCAACGCUGAAUCUAAGGCUGGCUUUACUCCAUUGCAUCUAGCUGCACAGCAGGGUCACACAGAAAUGUGCUCCCUUUUGGUUGAGCAUGGAGCUGAGGUGGACCAGCAAGCUAAGAAUGGACUGGCAGCAUUACACCUCGCUGCUCAAGAAGACAGAGUACCAGUUGCCCAACUACUGGUCAAAAAUGGAGCUGAGGUGGACAUUUGCACCAAAGGUGGUUACACUCCGCUUCACAUUGCCAGUCACUACGGACAAGCUAAUAUGGUUCGCUUCUUACUUGACAGCGGAGCUUCUGUCAAGGCUCAGACUACUCACGGAUAUACAGCACUGCAUCAUGCCGCUCAACAGGGACACAUCAAUAUCGUCAACAUUUUGCUAGAGAACAAGGCUGAUGCCAACGCUACUACCACGAAUGGACAAACUCCCCUGGACAUCGCGUCUAAGCUGGGGUAUGUGACGGUGAUGGAAACUCUGAAAGAUGUCUCCGAGCCAUCCAUCGCUCCCGUCAGUCAGGAGAAAUAUAAGGUCGUGGCUCCAGAGACUAUGCUUGAGACGUUCAUGUCUGAUUCUGAGGAGGAAGGAGGUGAAGACACUAUCCUGAACGACCAGCCGUACCGGUAUCUGACAGCUGAUGACAUGAAAUCUCUCGGUGAUGACUCGUUGCCAAUUGAUGUGACCAAGGAUGAGAGGACUGAGUCUGCGAUGAGCCAUAAGAAUAUUAUGGAAUUGUCUCAAACUUCAGUGAAUGGUAUGCCCUACCAGCCACAACAAGAGGUGGUGGUGAAGAGUAUCAGCCGAUACAGCACCGCGCCUGCGCCGGAGGGAUACUGCUACAAUGUCGACCCUACAGUGCCCAAAAUAGUGACAGUAAUUUUCUAAUCUCACUGCUUGUUACGCACGCUCUCUGGAUAUGGAUUCAUAGAAAAAAGCUACAAUGGAAAAAUUUCCUGGUAUCGUUCCUCGUGGACGCGCGUGGUGGAGCCAUGCGGGGCUGCCGCGGUGGUGGAGUGAGGGUCAUCGUACCACCACUGUCUG
RNAcentral lists this unclassified non-coding RNA (3355 nucleotides) under Pectinophora gossypiella (pink bollworm). RNAcentral describes it as "ankyrin-2-like". The record is from RNAcentral. Lineage: Eukaryota; Metazoa; Arthropoda; Insecta; Lepidoptera; Gelechiidae.